GAAAGUCUAGUUUAGUAACAUUUCUAACAUUUGCUCUGGCAUUCUUUAUGAGAAACAGAGAAGAUGUAACAAAUUGUGGUGUAUCUGAAUAGUUCUAAGCUACCUGGAAUUCCAGUUUAACAUCAGAAUUCAGGAGCUUGGAAUUCACCCUGGCUUGCUAUUUCACUACCUUCUCAUGUUCCUUCAGGAAUGGAUAAAAUAAUAAAUACCACCAUAAUUUAUUGCUUAGAGAAAGCUGUUAUCAAAUUUAUUAUUGUUUUAAACCUACAGAAAUUUUUCACAGAUGGACUAAUGAGGCAGGAGAAGAGGUCUAGGGGAAACUUCCUUUAUCUGCUUGUUAUUUACACAGUAGUCCAAGAAUACAUUGUGGAAAUAAUGUCCUAUGGUUUCCAAGUCUUUCAUAUUGCAAGCGGUGUUUGUCUGCAGCCUGAAGCAUCAGUCUCCUGAGCAGGAGGGACAACUGGCCACACUCAAAGGCAGCAGUUUUCUUCUCCUUGGUUGGAAAGCUUCAUUAAUGAAGGCUGAGAAUCACAAUACCACAAGACCCACUUUGCUGGAGAGCUGUACAGGCUGAAAUAAGGAUCACUGCCAGUUGCCUGUGCAUGAAGUUCAAGUCAGUAAUAAAAAAACAUGGAAAGUUGCAUUUUUGAAGAACAGCAACUGUAAGACUGUAAGCGAAAUCCCUGUCCUUCUUUACAGAAAGGCAGGGAGCUGAGAUUCAGACUGUUCCUCCACAUCUUAUCCUUUGCAGUAAAUUAGCAUGUCUGGUUGCAAAUGCCUUGUUUGCUUACAUGCCUUUACUAACUGUAUCUGCCUCAAGAAAGGUACCAAAUCCCUUUCAGUUUUGUGCUUCAGAACGUUUUGUGGCCACAACUAGUUAUCCUACGAUUGCAAAACUAUUAUAAUCCUUUCUUAUCCAUGUAGAAGUAUCCCAGGAUCAAGAUCAACAACUGCCAGAAGUUCCAAGUUCAUCCAAGGCAACUGGAUCAACUUAACAAACACAGGAAAGAAUAAAUAAAUCUGAUAGUCAGCCAGUGACAGUGGAAUAAGGCAACUAACUCCCUUCAACUCUGUCCAAUGAAUCCUUGCCAGACAGAAAAGCCUGUAUUCAAGAACUGAUCCAAUCUGACCAGGUUUUGUUUAUAAAUUUUGGCAAAAACAUGUUAUUCUUCCAGCACAGACUUCAGUGUUGAUGUUGCAGUUACACAGCUCUCAUCUUUUUCACUUACUCUUUUGGCUCUUAUCUUUCUUUGCUCAUAUUUUCUCAACAGACUCAUUUUAAGCUGGUUCAUAUUGUUUUUCACUGAGAACAAUGGCUUGAGCUGAGCUGGAUUUCUGGGAUAAGUAACAGGAGAAGCAGAACUUAAAGAAGAUGAGGCAGAUGUGUAACUAUGUGACUAGUUUUCUUCUCCAUCUAUAGGAAAAUAAUUUAUUCCCAAGUGCUUUAAUGGAAAAUGACAUUGAUUCAUCAGGCUUUGUAUUGUAUUUUUAAGGAGAUCAAAGCAAGUGCUUCAUCUACCUACAUCUGACAGCAAGAUUUCUUAAGGCUGUUCCCAUCUUCUCCUAGAUAAAUUGCUUCUAGAUAAAACUCCUUUUUCAGGAGUUUGCUAUGGCAGCAUUGUGUC
This is a long non-coding RNA of Ficedula albicollis (Collared flycatcher), 1625 nucleotides long. The record is from Ensembl. Lineage: Eukaryota; Metazoa; Chordata; Aves; Passeriformes; Muscicapidae.